This 769-nucleotide ribosomal RNA is filed under the name Salmonella enterica. RNAcentral describes it as "partial 23S ribosomal RNA". It matches the Rfam family "Bacterial large subunit ribosomal RNA", at positions 2174 to 2925 of the family's 2925-position model. The record is from RNAcentral. RNAcentral also lists the same sequence under 2 other names. Lineage: Bacteria; Pseudomonadati; Pseudomonadota; Gammaproteobacteria; Enterobacterales; Enterobacteriaceae.
GUCUGCGUGGAGCCGACCUUGAAAUACCACCCUUUAAUGUUUGAUGUUCUAACGUGGACCCGUUACCCGGGUUGCGGACAGUGUCUGGUGGGUAGUUUGACUGGGGCGGUCUCCUCCUAAAGAGUAACGGAGGAGCACGAAGGUUGGCUAAUCCUGGUCGGACAUCAGGAGGUUAGUGCAAUGGCAUAAGCCAGCUUGACUGCGAGCGUGACGGCGCGAGCAGGUGCGAAAGCAGGUCAUAGUGAUCCGGUGGUUCUGAAUGGAAGGGCCAUCGCUCAACGGAUAAAAGGUACUCCGGGGAUAACAGGCUGAUACCGCCCAAGAGUUCAUAUCGACGGCGGUGUUUGGCACCUCGAUGUCGGCUCAUCACAUCCUGGGGCUGAAGUAGGUCCCAAGGGUAUGGCUGUUCGCCAUUUAAAGUGGUACGCGAGCUGGGUUUAGAACGUCGUGAGACAGUUCGGUCCCUAUCUGCCGUGGGCGCUGGAGAACUGAGGGGGGCUGCUCCUAGUACGAGAGGACCGGAGUGGACGCAUCACUGGUGUUCGGGUUGUCAUGCCAAUGGCACUGCCCGGUAGCUAAAUGCGGAAGAGAUAAGUGCUGAAAGCAUCUAAGCACGAAACUUGCCCCGAGAUGAGUUCUCCCUGAGACUUAGAGUCUCCUGAAGGAACGUUGAAGACGACGACGUUGAUAGGCCGGGUGUGUAAGCGCAGCGAUGCGUUGAGCUAACCGGUACUAAUGAACCGUGAGGCUUAACCUUACAACGCCGAAG